GAUGAAGAACGUAGCGAAAUGCGAUACGUAAUGUGAAUUGCAGAAUUCAGUGAAUCAUCGAGUCUUUGAACGCACAUUGCGCCCCCUGGUAUUCCGGGGGGCAUGCCUGUCCGAGCGUCAUUGCUGCCCUCAAGCACGGCUUGUGUGUUGGGCCUCCGUCCUCCUCCCGGGGGCCGGGCCCGAAAGGCAGCGGCGGCACCGCGUCCGGUCCUCGAGCGUAUGGGGCUUCGUCACCCGCUCUUGUAGGCCCGGCCGGCGCUUGCCGACACAUCAAUCUUUUUUCCAGGUUGACCUCGGAUCAGGUAGGGCUACCCGCUGAACUUAAGCAUAUCAAUAAGCGGAGGA
RNAcentral lists this unclassified non-coding RNA (345 nucleotides) under soil metagenome. Its description in RNAcentral is "partial contains 5.8S ribosomal RNA, internal transcribed spacer 2, and large subunit ribosomal RNA". The stretch from base 1 to 120 matches the Rfam family "5.8S ribosomal RNA", at positions 35 to 154 of the family's 154-position model. The record is from RNAcentral.